CUAUCCAUGGCCAGGUUGAAGGUGUGGUAACACACACUGGAGGACCGAACCGACUAGUGUUGCAAAAUUAGCGGAUGAGCUGUGGAUAGGGGUGAAAGGCUAAACAAAUCUGGAGAUAGCUGGUUCUCCCCGAAAACUAUUGAGGUAGUGCCUCGUGUAUGACUCCAGGGGGUAGAGCACUGUUAUGGCUAGGGGGACAUGGCGUCUUACCAAACCAUGGCAAACUCCGAAUACUUGGAAGUUUGAGCACGGGAGACAGAGCACCGGGUGCUAACGUCCGGACUCAAGAGGGAAACAACCCAGACCGCCGGCUAAGGUCCCUAAUAUUGACUAAGUGGAAAACGAAGUGGAAAGGCUAAGACAGUCAGGAAGUUGGCUUAGAAGCAGCCAUCCUUCAAAGAAAGCGUAAUAGCUCACUGAUCGAGUCUUUCUGCGCGGAAGAUGUAACGGGGCUAAGUCAAUAACCGAAGCCGCGGAUUCACACUUAUGUGUGAGUGGUAGGGGAGCGUUCUGUAAGCCUGCGAAGGUGACUCGUAAGGGUUGCUGGAGGUAUCAGAAGUGCGAAUGCUGACAUGAGUAACGUUAAAGCGGGUGAAAAGCCCGCUCGCCGUAAGCCCAAGGUUUCCUGCUCUACGUUCAUCGGAGCAGGGUGAGUCGGCCCCUAAGGUGAGGCUGAGAAGCGUAACUGAUGGGAACAAGGUUAAUAUUCCUUGACCACCGCUGAAUGCGAAGGGGGGACGGAGUAUUGAAGAUCAUCCGGGUGUUGGAUAUCCCGGUUUGCGAGCGUAGGAGGCUGACAGGCAAAUCCGUCAGCGAAUCUCCGAGGCGAAGCAUCGAGCUCUCUUUUGAGCGAAGUGAUUGGAUGUGCUUCCAGGAAAAGCCUCUAAGCUCCAGUUCAGCGGGACCGUACCGCAAACCGACACUGGUGGGCGAGCUGAAUAUGCUCAGGCGCUUGAGAGAACUCAGGAGAAGGAACUCGGCAAAUUGACACCGUAACUUCGGGAUAAGGUGUGCCUUUGUAGCGUGGAGGGAGAAACACCCCGAGCGCGAAGAGGUCUCAGAUAAUCGGUGGCUGCGACUGUUUAUUAAAAACACAGCACUCUGCAAAGACGAAAGUCGACGUAUAGGGUGUGAUGCCUGCCCGGUGCUGGAAGAUUAAUUGAUGGGGUGCAAGCUCCUGAUCGAAGUCCCAGUAAACGGCGGCCGUAACUAUAACGGUCCUAAGGUAGCGAAAUUCCUUGUC
Molecule: ribosomal RNA, 1243 nt
Filed under: human gut metagenome
Description: bacterial LSU rRNA
Rfam family: Bacterial large subunit ribosomal RNA
Source: RNAcentral